This 2340-nucleotide ribosomal RNA is filed under the name Melphidippa borealis. RNAcentral's name for it is "partial 18S ribosomal RNA". It matches the Rfam family "Eukaryotic small subunit ribosomal RNA". The record is from RNAcentral. Lineage: Eukaryota; Metazoa; Arthropoda; Malacostraca; Amphipoda; Melphidippidae.
CCUACCUGGUUGAUCCUGCCAGUAGUCAUAUGCUUGUUUCAAAGACUAAGCCAUGCAUGUCUAAGUCCAAGCUGUGUGUUGUUGGUGCAAGCCUUCACACGCGGCGAAACCGCGGACGGCUCAUUAAAUCAGUCGUGGUCCAAAUGGGCUAGAGUUAUCUUACUUGGAUAACUGUGGUAAUUCCAGAGCUAAUACAUGCAACUGAAAGUCCGAUCGGAACACUUCGGUGUUCUGUGACGGCUGCUUUUAUUAGACCAAACCGCUGAGGGGAAUUUAUUCCCUGUAGACCCGUGUUAUGGUGACUCCGGAUAACAACCACUGACAAGCGCACGUAUCCAUUUGUUUGGGACGGCGCUGCCACUUUCGAGUGUCUGCCUUAUCAGCUAUGAAUCGUUCGUUAUGUGCACACGAUGGCUUUGACGGGUAACGGGGAAUCAGAGUUCGAUUCCGGAGAGGCAGCCUGAGAAACGGCUACCACGUCCAAGGACGGCAGCAGGCACGCAAAUUACCCAAUCCCAGCUACUGGGGGAGGUAGUGACGAAAUCUAACGAUGCGGGCGCCCCUUCUGGGGCCCCGCAAUCGGAAUGAGCAUUCUCUUUCUAAACACCCUGUUGAGAACCUACUGAAGGGCAAGUCUGGUGCCAGCAGCCGCGGUAAUUCCAGCUUCAGCAGCAUCUACUAAUGUUGCUGCGGUUAAAAGGCUCGCAGUUGAAUGUCAGUACCGAGUGCAUGGAUGGUGGACGUUGGGGUAUGUUUGGUAGCGCAUGCCGUGCAUUUACGUGUGCGGUGUGUCUGCGCCUGCAUGUUAUAGCUCCCGUCCGUGUCAAGCCACCUCACUUGUGUGCAAAGUGGAAUGGUUUCUUCUUGUUACUUUCGGGUAAUGAGGGGCGCACCAGCGCUUGAUGAGGUUCUUGGUGCUUGCUUCUGUGAGUGCCUUGUGACCAACAAGCUUGCCCGUGUGUGUUAACAGUUUCAAUGUCUCCUUGAGUAAAUCGGAGUGCUUAACGCAAUCGUAAGGAGCGUGUGUGGUUAACGCUGCACAUGCUCUGCGAUGAAUGUCAUUGUGACAGAUGGUCCUGGUUAUGCAUGGAAUGUCGAAAGACGCUGUGUUUUGUCGGUAACGGGUCUGGUGCGGGCUGUACUAGAGAGCUCAUUUCGGUGGGUUUUCUUGUGCACACACGAGACCAGCAAACACGGAAUGAUUAAAAGGUUCGGUCGAGGGCAUUGGUAUUGCGGGGCGAGAGGUGAAAUUCUAUGACCCCCGCAAGACCUCCUGAAGCGAAAGCGUCUGCCAAGGACGUUUUCAUUAAUCAUGAACGAAAGUUAGAGGAUCGAAGGCGAUCAGAUACCGCCCUAGUUCUAACCCUAAACGAUUCCAACCAUCAAUCUGUGUGAGCACCCUUUCUAACGGGCUCGACAGGCAGCUCCCCACUCACGGGAAACCAGAGUCUCUGGGUUCCGGGGGGAGUCUGGUUGCAAAGCUGAAACUUAAAGGAAUUGACGGAAAGGCACCACCAGGAGUGGCCUGCGGCUUAAUUUGACUCAACACGGGCCAUCUCACCAGGCCAGCACUCUUGUACGAUUGACAGAUUGAGAGUUCUUUCUCGAUUAAGUGGAUGGUGGUGCAUGGCCGUUCUUAGUUGGUGGAGUGAUCUGUCUGGUUAAUUCCGAUAACGAACGAGACUCUCCCCUGCUAAAUAGUCGGUUGGAUCUUGCGUCAUGGAGAGUAGCGACCUCUAGGCAUUUGCAUGCGUGUUUGCCUCACGGUGGGUGCGUGUGUGGGUGUUCGAAAAGGGAGCACUCCAAGUCCGCCGCUUACCCUACUGCCGCGUGUGUGUGUGGUGUCCUUAACGGGGCGUCAUGCGUGUGCGUGUGUCGGUGGGUAAAACUCUUCUUAGAGGGAUUCACGGUUCUGAAGCCGUAAGAAACUGAGAGCAAUAACAGGUCUGUGAUGCCCUUAGAUGUUCUGGGCCGCACGCGCGCUACAAUGUCGGACUCAGCAGGUGUUUUCCCUUUUCCGAGAGGAAUAGGUAACCCUAUGAAAGUCCUUCAAACAUUAUCUCUAUAAAAGCUUGGGCCUUGUGUCCUUGCUAAUAUAAGCGUGACUUGCUUGGGCCUGGGGCUUGCAAUUCUUUCCCACAAACGAGGAAUGCCUAGUAGCGGCGGAUCACUGAGUUCGCUGUGACUCAGUCCCUGCCCUUUGUACACACCGCCCGUCGCUACUACCUGAUUGGGUGUACCAGUGAAAUUUUUGGACUGGCGAGCCUUGUGCGCAAGCACGAGUGUGUACGACGGAARGAGACUCGAACUGGUGCACUUAGAGGAAGUAAAAGUCGUAAC